Molecule: ribosomal RNA, 198 nt
Filed under: Lactiplantibacillus plantarum
Lineage: Bacteria; Bacillati; Bacillota; Bacilli; Lactobacillales; Lactobacillaceae
Description: Lactobacillus plantarum partial 16S ribosomal RNA
Rfam family: Bacterial small subunit ribosomal RNA
Source: RNAcentral
UUAAUUUGAGAGUUUGAUCCUGGCUCAGGACGAACGCUGGCGGCGUGCCUAAUACAUGCAAGUCGAACGAACUCUGGUAUUGAUUGGUGCUUGCAUCAUGAUUUACAUUUGAGUGAGUGGCGAACUGGUGAGUAACACGUGGGAAACCUGCCCAGAAGCGGGGGAUAACACCUGGAAACAGAUGCUAAUACCGCAUAA